AAUUAUAGAAGAUCCCCUUUAAGACCAUACAAUUCCAUCAAAUUGAGUUUGACGGUGUAUGUGAUAGCAUCUACUAUACCAAGAAUAUCAACGAACCCCAUUCCUGCAAUUGCUCAGGAUACCCUCUUUUAG
RNAcentral lists this ribosomal RNA (132 nucleotides) under Triticum aestivum (bread wheat). Its description in RNAcentral is "partial small subunit ribosomal RNA". The record is from RNAcentral. Lineage: Eukaryota; Viridiplantae; Streptophyta; Magnoliopsida; Poales; Poaceae.